GUAUAAAACGGGGUCGGCACGGCCGAGGGGCACAGCAGUCAAGAUGAGGUCUACCGUUGUGCUCCUGGGAGUGGUGAUCAUCAGCUUUGCUGUAUUUGCCCAAGUUUGCAUAAGGCCGGGCCAGUGCCCCAGUCAUCGGCUGGUGUUCAAAUCUCGCACAUGGAGGGGUGAGUGCAAAACAGACUGCGAAUGCAACAAAUCUCAUCACAACGGUACCUGGAAGUGCUGCCCAACGUUUUUGGGAAAUCUCUGUCUACCGCCAUGCAACCCCAACUGCACGGGUAUCCAGGUGUGCGCGCUGCUCACCCAGGCGAACCCGUGGACCUCUAUCUGCGUCUAUCCCUGAUCACAGCAAACGGGUGCCGCGGCAUCGGCAAUUUCAAAAGAACUGACGAUCGGAGAUAUUCGCAUUCCCUGCAGCUGGAGGGCAGAGACAGCCAUUUGGUAGAUGGUGUCAGUUAUCGUCGCAAGGUAGUCAUGGCUGGGAGCUUCAGCGAAGUUUGUACACUGCGACUCGAAGAUAAGUUUUCACCAUGUCGCAGUGCCCUGCUGUCUGCACCUGUCUUGCUGUUUCACCCGUGUGUGCGCUGAGUGACGAAAGGUAAAUGUUGUUCAGCCUGUUUCGCACCUUGAUGUUUUCUGGUGAGAAAUACAUGGGCUACGAUUUA
This is a long non-coding RNA of Pollicipes pollicipes, 668 nucleotides long. RefSeq lists it as uncharacterized. Lineage: Eukaryota; Metazoa; Arthropoda; Thecostraca; Pollicipedomorpha; Pollicipedidae. The record is from RefSeq and is a predicted model, not a curated record. The transcript is spliced from 2 exons.